UGCAUAUCCCAAAAAGCGGAGGAAAAGAAACCAAUUGGCAUUGCCUCAGUAACGGCGAGUGAAGCGGCAACAGCUCAAAUUUGAAAUCUGGCCUCUUGGGGUCCGAGUUGUAAUUUGUAGAGGAUGUUUCGGGUACCGCCUCGGUUUAAAUUUCUUGGAACAGAAUGUCAAAGAGGGUGAGAAUCCCGUCUUGGACCGGCGGUAGGGCCUAUGUGAAACUCCUUCGACGAGUCGAGUUGUUUGGGAAUGCAGCUCAAAAUGGGUGGUAAAUUUCAUCUAAAGCUAAAUAUUGGCCAGAGACCGAUAGCGCACAAGUAGAGUGAUCGAAAGAUGAAAAGCACUUUGAAAAGAGAGUUAAACAGUAUGUGAAAUUGUUGAAAGGGAAGCGCUUGCAACCAGACUUGAGCGCGGCGGUUCCCCCUUGCUUCUGCUUGGGUUACUCCGCCGUGUCCAGGCCAACAUCGGUUCUGGGGGUCGGUCAAAGGCUCUGGGAAUGUAUCUACCCACGGGUAGACUUAUAGACCAGGGUGUCAUGCGACCUCCCGGGACCGAGGAACGCGCUUCGGCUCGGAUGUUGGCGUAAUGGUUGUCAGCGACCCGUCUUGACCCCACGGGACC
RNAcentral lists this ribosomal RNA (618 nucleotides) under Fonsecaea nubica. RNAcentral describes it as "partial large subunit ribosomal RNA". It matches the Rfam family "Eukaryotic large subunit ribosomal RNA", at positions 37 to 664 of the family's 3401-position model. Lineage: Eukaryota; Fungi; Ascomycota; Eurotiomycetes; Chaetothyriales; Herpotrichiellaceae. The record is from RNAcentral.